RNAcentral lists this ribosomal RNA (1447 nucleotides) under uncultured prokaryote. RNAcentral describes it as "partial 16S ribosomal RNA". It matches the Rfam family "Bacterial small subunit ribosomal RNA". The record is from RNAcentral.
GAUGAACGCUAGCGGCAGGCCUAACACAUGCAAGUCGAGGGGUAACAGUGAGAGCUUGCUUUCAGCUGACGACCGGCGCACGGGUGCGUAACGCGUAUGCAACCUGCCUUGUACUGGAAGAUAGCCCCCGGAAACGGGGAUUAAUAUUCCAUGGUAUUAUUAAAACACAUGUUUAAAUAAUUAAAGCUUUGGCGGUACAGGAUGGGCAUGCGUGACAUUAGUUAGUUGGUAAGGUAACGGCUUACCAAGACAGUGAUGUCUACGGGGUCUUAAAGGAUGGUCCCGCACACUGGUACUGAGACACGGACCAGACUCCUACGGGAGGCAGCAGUGAGGAAUAUUGGUCAAUGGACGCAAGUCUGAACCAGCCAUGCCGCGUGAAAGGAUGACGGCCCUACGGGUUGUAAACUUCUUUUAUACAGGAAGAAAACGUCUUACGAGUAAGGCACUGACGGUACUGUAUGAAUAAGCAUCGGCUAACUCCGUGCCAGCAGCCGCGGUAAUACGGAGGAUGCAAGCGUUAUCCGGAUUUAUUAGGUUUAAAGGGUCCGCAGGCGGACUUUUAAGUCAGUGGUGAAAUCCUGCAGCUUAACUGCAGAACUGCCAUUGAUACUGAAAGUCUUGAGUGUGGUUGAGGUAGGCGGAAUGUGUUGUGUAGCGGUGAAAUGCUUAGAUAUAACACAGAACACCGAUUGCGAAGGCAGCUUACUAAACCAUAACUGACGCUCAUGGACGAAAGCGCGGGGAGCGAACAGGAUUAGAUACCCUGGUAGUCCGCGCCGUAAACGAUGAUUACUCGUUGUGCGCGAUACACAGUGCGUGACUGAGCGAAAGCAUUAAGUAAUCCACCUGGGGAGUACGUUCGCAAGAAUGAAACUCAAAGGAAUUGACGGGGGCCCGCACAAGCGGAGGAACAUGUGGUUUAAUUCGAUGAUACGCGAGGAACCUUACCCGGGCUUAAAUGCAGAGUGACCGUUGCCGAAAGGUGAUUUCCCGUCGGCAAUUUACAAGGUGCUGCAUGGCUGUCGUCAGCUCGUGCCGUGAGGUGUUGGGUUAAGUCCCGCAACGAGCGCAACCCCUAUCUUUAGUUGCUAGCAGGUAAUGCUGAGGACUCUAAAGAGACUGCCCGCGCAAGCGGUGAGGAAGGUGGGGAUGACGUCAAAUCAUCACGGCCCUUACGUCCUGGGCUACACACGUGCUACAAUGGCCGGUACAGAGGGCAGCUACCCCGCGAGGGGAUGCGAAUCUCAAAAGCCGGUCUCAGUUCGGAUUGGAGUCUGCAACUCGACUCCAUGAAGCUGGAAUCGCUAGUAAUCGCGCAUCAGCCAUGGCGCGGUGAAUACGUUCCCGGGCCUUGUACACACCGCCCGUCAAGCCAUGGAAGCUGGGGGUGCCUGAAGUCGGUGACCGCAAGGAGCUGCCUAGGGUAAAACUGGUAACUAGGGCU